UCAAUACUCACCUCAAUACUCACCUCAAUAUUUACUCAAUACUCACCUCAAUACUCACCUCAAUACUCACCUCAAUAUUUACUCAAUACUCACCUCAAUACUCACUCAAUACUCACCUCAAUACUUACUCAAUACUCACCUCAAUAGUCACCUCAAUACUCACCUCAAUAUUUACUCAAUACUCACCUCAAUACUCACCUCAAUACUCACCUCAAUAUUUACUCAAUACUCACCCCAAUACUCACCUCAAUACUCACCUCAAUACUCACCUCAAUACUCACCUCAAUACUCACCUCAAUACUCACCUCAAUACUCACCUCAAUACUCACUUCAAUACUCACCUCAAUACUCACCUCAAUACUCACCUCAAUAUUUACUCAAUACUCACCCCAAUACUCACCUCAAUACUCACCUCAAUACUCACCUCAAUACUCACCUCAAUACUCACCUCAAUACUCACCUCAAUACUCACCUCAAUACUCACCUCAAUAUUUACUCAAUACUCACCUCAAUACUCACCUCAAUAUUCACUCAAUACUCACCUCAAUAUUUACUCAAUACUCACCUCAAUACUCACCUCAAUAUUCACUCAAUACUCACUCAAUAUUCACCUCAAUACUCACCUCAAUACUCACUCAAUACUCACCUCAAUAUUCACCUCAACACUCACAUCAAAACACGAAAAGCAAAACACAAUCAAAACAAACACAUGCUUCAGUAAUAAGGUGCUCGAUAUAUUUGAAUUGUAUAUGAUGACAAUUGGCCCAGUGUCGUCCGGGUUUGGCCGGGGUAGUUAACCCACUGUUCCUAGACCAGUUAACCCACUGUUCCUAGGCCAGUUAACCCACUGUUCCUAGACCAGUUAACCCACUGUUCCUAGACCAGUUAACCCACUGUUCCUAGACCAGUUAACCCACUGUUCCAAGGCCGUCAUUGUAAAUAAGAAUUUGUUCUUAACUGACUUGCCUAGUUAAAUAAAAUAAAAACAUUUCAACUUUAAGGAUAUUAUGAGAUUUUUUUGGUCCGUUUCAAAAUUUGAUUGUGUAUGGAGGCCUUAUUUUAUAAAUGUUUUUAUAAUUUUUUAUCUUUCUAAAUGUAAUGUAUCUCACUGUUUCUUGCGCAUUUAAUACAUUAUAUUACAUGUUAAACAGCAAAAGGUUUAUGAAAUAAUAAAAUAACUCUUUCUCUCAUCAAGCGCUUCUGUGUUUCAUGUCAGAACUUAGCAAGAGAUCUCUCAACCAGUUUCCCGAUUGUUGCAUUCCAAAGUCUUAUCUAGCUGGUUUACACUCCCUGCCUGAUGUUCUUUCUCUCUCACACACACACACACACACACACACACACACACACACACACACACACACACACACACACACACA
Oncorhynchus tshawytscha (Chinook salmon) is the source of this 1376-nucleotide long non-coding RNA. The record is from Ensembl. Lineage: Eukaryota; Metazoa; Chordata; Actinopteri; Salmoniformes; Salmonidae.